This 2926-nucleotide ribosomal RNA is filed under the name Staphylococcus haemolyticus. Its description in RNAcentral is "bacterial LSU rRNA". It matches the Rfam family "Bacterial large subunit ribosomal RNA". The record is from RNAcentral. Lineage: Bacteria; Bacillati; Bacillota; Bacilli; Caryophanales; Staphylococcaceae.
AGAUUAAGUUAUUAAGGGCGCACGGUGGAUGCCUUGGCACUAGAAGCCGACGAAGGACGUUACUAACGACGAUAUGCUUUGGGUAGCUGUAAGUAAGCGUUGAUCCAGAGAUUUCCGAAUGGGGGAACCCAGCACGAGUUAUGUCGUGUUAUCGACAAGUGAAUUCAUAGCUUGUCAGAAGGCAGACCCGGAGAACUGAAACAUCUUAGUACCCGGAGGAAGAGAAAGAAAAAUCGAUUCCCUGAGUAGCGGCGAGCGAAACGGGAAGAGCCCAAACCAAUAAGCUUGCUUAUUGGGGUUGUAGGACACUCUAUACGGAGUUACAAAGGAAUAUAUUAGACGAAUCAUCUGGAAAGUUGAAUCAAAGAAGGUAAUAAUCCUGUAGUUGAAAAUAUAUUCUCUCUUGAGUGGAUCCUGAGUACGACGGAGCACGUGAAAUUCCGUCGGAAUCUGGGAGGACCAUCUCCUAAGGCUAAAUACUCUCUAGUGACCGAUAGUGAACCAGUACCGUGAGGGAAAGGUGAAAAGUACCCCGGAAGGGGAGUGAAAGAGAACUUGAAACCGUGUGCUUACAAGUAGUCAGAGCCCGUUAAUGGGUGAUGGCGUGCCUUUUGUAGAAUGAACCGGCGAGUUACGAUCUGAUGCAAGGUUAAGCAGGAGAUGUGGAGCCGUAGCGAAAGCGAGUCUGAAUAGGGCGUUGAGUAUUUGGUCGUAGACCCGAAACCAGGUGAUCUACCCAUGGUCAGGUUGAAGUUCAGGUAACACUGAAUGGAGGACCGAACCGACUUACGUUGAAAAGUGAGCGGAUGAACUGUGGGUAGCGGAGAAAUUCCAAUCGAACUUGGAGAUAGCUGGUUCUCUCCGAAAUAGCUUUAGGGCUAGCCUCAAGUGAUGAUUAUUGGAGGUAGAGCACUGUUUGGACGAGGGGCCCCUCUCGGGUUACCGAAUUCAGACAAACUCCGAAUGCCAAUUAAUUUAACUUGGGAGUCAGAACAUGGGUGAUAAGGUCCGUGUUCGAAAGGGAAACAGCCCAGACCACCAGCUAAGGUCCCAAAAUAUAUGUUAAGUGGAAAAGGAUGUGGCGUUGCCCAGACAACUAGGAUGUUGGCUUAGAAGCAGCCAUCAUUUAAAGAGUGCGUAAUAGCUCACUAGUCGAGUGACACUGCGCCGAAAAUGUACCGGGGCUAAACAUAUUACCGAAGCUGUGGAUUGUCCGUAGGACAAUGGUAGGAGAGCGUUCUAAGGGCGUUGAAGCAUGAUCGCAAGGACAUGUGGAGCGCUUAGAAGUGAGAAUGCCGGUGUGAGUAGCGAAAGACGGGUGAGAAUCCCGUCCACCGAUUGACUAAGGUUUCCAGAGGAAGGCUCGUCCGCUCUGGGUUAGUCGGGUCCUAAGCUGAGGCCGACAGGCAUAGGCGAUGGAUAACAGGUUGAUAUUCCUGUACCACCUAGCAUCGUUUUAAUCGAUGGGGGGACGCAGUAGGAUAGGCGAAGCGUACGAUUGGAUUGUACGUCCAAGCAGUGAGAUUGAGUGUUAGGCAAAUCCGGCACUCUUAAGAUUGAGCUGUGAUGGGGAGAGGAAAUUGUUUCCUCGAGUCGUUGAUUUCACACUGCCGAGAAAAGCCUCUAGAUAGAUAAUAGGUGCCCGUACCGCAAACCGACACAGGUAGUCAAGAUGAGAAUUCUAAGGUGAGCGAGCGAACUCUCGUUAAGGAACUCGGCAAAAUGACCCCGUAACUUCGGGAGAAGGGGUGCUCUUUAGGGUGCAAGCCCAGAAGAGCCGCAGUGAAUAGGCCCAAGCGACUGUUUAUCAAAAACACAGGUCUCUGCUAAACCGUAAGGUGAUGUAUAGGGGCUGACGCCUGCCCGGUGCUGGAAGGUUAAGAGGAGUAGUUAGCUUCUGCGAAGCUACGAAUCGAAGCCCCAGUAAACGGCGGCCGUAACUAUAACGGUCCUAAGGUAGCGAAAUUCCUUGUCGGGUAAGUUCCGACCCGCACGAAAGGCGUAACGAUUUGGGCACUGUCUCAACGAGAGACUCGGUGAAAUCAUAGUACCUGUGAAGAUGCAGGUUACCCGCGACAGGACGGAAAGACCCCGUGGAGCUUUACUGUAGCCUGAUAUUGAAAUUCGGCACAGCUUGUACAGGAUAGGUAGGAGCCUUUGAAACGUGAGCGCUAGCUUACGUGGAGGCGCUGGUGGGAUACUACCCUAGCUGUGUUGGCUUUCUAACCCGCACCACUUAUCGUGGUGGGAGACAGUGUCAGGCGGGCAGUUUGACUGGGGCGGUCGCCUCCUAAAAGGUAACGGAGGCGCUCAAAGGUUCCCUCAGAAUGGUUGGAAAUCAUUCAUAGAGUGUAAAGGCAUAAGGGAGCUUGACUGCGAGACCUACAAGUCGAGCAGGGUCGAAAGACGGACUUAGUGAUCCGGUGGUUCCGCAUGGAAGGGCCAUCGCUCAACGGAUAAAAGCUACCCCGGGGAUAACAGGCUUAUCUCCCCCAAGAGUUCACAUCGACGGGGAGGUUUGGCACCUCGAUGUCGGCUCAUCGCAUCCUGGGGCUGUAGUCGGUCCCAAGGGUUGGGCUGUUCGCCCAUUAAAGCGGUACGCGAGCUGGGUUCAGAACGUCGUGAGACAGUUCGGUCCCUAUCCGUCGUGGGCGUAGGAAAUUUGAGAGGAGCUGUCCUUAGUACGAGAGGACCGGGAUGGACAUACCUCUGGUGUACCAGUUGUCGUGCCAACGGCAUAGCUGGGUAGCUAUGUAUGGACGGGAUAAGUGCUGAAAGCAUCUAAGCAUGAAGCCCCCCUCAAGAUGAGAUUUCCCAACUUCGGUUAUAAGAUCCCUCAAAGAUGAUGAGGUUAAUAGGUUCGAGGUGGAAGCGUGGUGACACGUGGAGCUGACGAAUACUAAUCGAUUGAAGACUUAAUCAAUUU